GACGUAGGGGGCCAGCGUUGUUCGGAAUUACUGGGUGUAAAGGGUUCGUAGGCGGUGUGGCAAGUUGGGAGUGAAAUCUCUGGGCUCAACUGGGAGGGUGCGGCGGAAACUAGAAUGCUAGAGUGUGGGAGAGGUAAGCGGAAUUCCUGGUGUAGCGGUGAAAUGCGUAGAUAUCAGGAGGAACACCUGCGGUGUAGACAGCUUACUGGACCACGACUGACGCUGAGGCACGAAAGCGUGGGUAGCAAACAGG
This 253-nucleotide ribosomal RNA is filed under the name uncultured prokaryote. Its description in RNAcentral is "partial 16S ribosomal RNA". It matches the Rfam family "Bacterial small subunit ribosomal RNA", at positions 524 to 776 of the family's 1533-position model. The record is from RNAcentral.